This 585-nucleotide ribosomal RNA is filed under the name uncultured bacterium. Its description in RNAcentral is "partial 16S ribosomal RNA". It matches the Rfam family "Bacterial small subunit ribosomal RNA", at positions 355 to 1375 of the family's 1533-position model. The record is from RNAcentral.
UGGGGAAUUGAUGACAAUGGGCGACAGCUGCAUCCAGCAUGCCGCGUGUGUGAAGAAGGCCUUCGGGUUGUAAAGCACUUUUGUCCGGAAAGAAAUCCUUGGCUCUAAUACAGUCGGGGGAUGACGGUACCGGAAGAAUAAGCACCGGCUAACUACGUGCCAGCAGCCGCGGUAAUACGUAGGGUGCAAGCGUUAAUCGGAAUUACUGGGCGUAAAGCGUGCGCAGGCGGUUUGCUAAGACCGAUGUGAAAUCCCCGGGCUCAACCUGGGAACUGCAUUGGUGACUGGCAGGCUAGAGUAUGGCAGAGGGGGGUAGAAUUCCACGUGUAGCAGUGAAAUGCGUAGAGAUGUGGAGGAAUACCGAUGGCGAAGGCAGCCCCUGGGCCAAUACUGACGCUCAUGCACGAAAGCGUGGGGAGCAAACAGGAUUAGAUACCCUGGUAGUCCAGCGCCCUAAACGAUGUCAACUAGUUGUUGGGGACUUCAUUUCCUUAGUAACGUAGCUAACGCGUGAAGUUGACCGCCUGGGGAGUACGGUCGCAAGAUUAAAACUCAAAGAAAUUGACGGGGUCAUAGCUGUUUCCU